UACGUAGGUGGCAAGCGUUGUCCGGAUUUACUGGGCGUAAAGGGCGUGCAGGCGGUUUGCUAAGUGCAGGGUGAAAGCUCCCGGCUCAACUGGGAGAGGUCCUUGCAUACUGGCAAACUCGAGGGAGGCAGAGGAAAGUGGAAUUCCCGGUGUAGUGGUGAUAUGCGUAGAUAUCGGGAGGAACACCUGUGGCGAAGGCGGCUUUCUGGGCCUUACCUGACGCUGAGACGCGAAGGCGUGGGGAGCGAACGGG
This 253-nucleotide ribosomal RNA is filed under the name uncultured bacterium. RNAcentral describes it as "partial 16S ribosomal RNA". It matches the Rfam family "Bacterial small subunit ribosomal RNA", at positions 524 to 776 of the family's 1533-position model. The record is from RNAcentral.